CCUACGGGUGGCAGCAGUGGGGAAUAUUGCACAAUGGGCGAAACCCUGAUGCAGCGACGCCGCGUGAGUGCAGAAUUCUCUCGGUAUGUUAAGCUCCUUCUGCAGGGAAGUAAAUGACGGUACCUGAUUAAGAAGCCCCGGCUAACUACGUGCCAGCAGCCGCGGUAAUACGUAGGGGGCCAGCGUUAUCCGGAUUUACUGGGUGUAAAGGGAGCGUAGGCGGCGGCGCAAGUCUGAAGUGAAAUGCCGGGGCUUAACCCCGGAACUGCUUGGGAAACUGUGCAGUUAGAGUGCAGGAGAGGUAAGUGGAAUUCGUGGUGUAGCGGUGAAAUGCGUAGAUAUUAGGAAGAACACCAGUGGCGAAGGCAGCUUACUGGACUGUAACUGACGUUGAGGCUCGAAAGCGUGGGGAGCAAACAGGAUUAGAUACCCGGGUAGUC
This 440-nucleotide ribosomal RNA is filed under the name uncultured bacterium. RNAcentral's name for it is "partial 16S ribosomal RNA". It matches the Rfam family "Bacterial small subunit ribosomal RNA", at positions 338 to 795 of the family's 1533-position model. The record is from RNAcentral.